Gorilla gorilla gorilla (western lowland gorilla) is the source of this 117-nucleotide non-coding RNA. It matches the Rfam family "Metazoan signal recognition particle RNA". From Rfam's summary of the family: The signal recognition particle (SRP) is a universally conserved ribonucleoprotein. It is involved in the co-translational targeting of proteins to membranes. Lineage: Eukaryota; Metazoa; Chordata; Mammalia; Primates; Hominidae. The record is from Rfam.
GCUGGGCGUGAUGGCUCACGCCUGUAAUCCCAGCACUUUGGGAGGCUGAGGCGGGUGGAUCACCUGAGGUCAGGAGUUCGAGACCAGUCUGGCCAACAUGGUGAAACCCCGUCUCUA